GGGGAAUAUUGCGCAAUGGGGGAAACCCUGACGCAGCAAUACCGCGUGAGUGAAGAAGGUUUUCGGAUCGUAAAGCUCUGUUAUUGGGGAAGAAAAAAAGACGGUACCCAAGAAGAAAGUCCCGGCUAACUACGUGCCAGCAGCCGCGGUAAUACGUAGGGGACAAGCGUUGUCCGGAUUUACUGGGCGUAAAGGGCACGCAGGCGGUUUUUUAAGUCAGAUGUGAAAGGUACCGGCUCAACCGGUGACAUGCAUUUGAAACUGAAAGACUUGAUUAUUGGAGAGGCAGGUGAAUUCCUUGGUGUAGCGGUAAAUUCCGAAGAUAUUAGGAGGAACCCGGGUGGGGAGGGCGGCUUGCUGGACAAUUACUGACGCUGGGGUGCGAAAGCGUGGGGAGCAAACG
Molecule: ribosomal RNA, 403 nt
Filed under: uncultured Acetobacterium sp.
Lineage: Bacteria; Bacillati; Bacillota; Clostridia; Eubacteriales; Eubacteriaceae
Description: bacterial SSU rRNA
Rfam family: Bacterial small subunit ribosomal RNA
Source: RNAcentral